This is a long non-coding RNA of Triticum aestivum (bread wheat), 4289 nucleotides long. RefSeq lists it as uncharacterized. The transcript is spliced from 3 exons. Lineage: Eukaryota; Viridiplantae; Streptophyta; Magnoliopsida; Poales; Poaceae. The record is from RefSeq and is a predicted model, not a curated record.
AUGCAAGCAAUCCACCGGACCAUCACCGACCACACGUCUCCCCCACGCUCUCACACUCUCCGGUGUCCGCUCCGGCGGCCUCUCUCUCUCUCUCUCUCUCUCUCUCUCUCUCUCUCUCGUGCGGCUUGCCGUUGAGAUGCCCGCCGCCGUCACCAGAUCCGUCCUCCCCAUCGUGCAGUUGAGAUGUGUCGCCGCCGCCGCCAACGACGACAUCUUCCUCGGCCGCCGGAGCUCAGAUCCGCCCUGCCCCUCCGGCUGCCGUCGAUACAGACCACGACCGACGCCUCCAGUCAUCUCCUAUGUACUCCUACAUCGACGGGGUCGUGCUUCCUUCUCGGUCGCCAUGGGUGUGGAGUGCCUGACCACAGCCUGUGCGUAAAAUCCCCAAAUUUCACACGGUGACAAACUCCGUCUCCCCAUUGACGCCCGUCUCCAGCGAGGGUUCCUCCUCAACCGCUCUGUCAUGGCCCCCUUCAUCUCCGCGGGUGAGAUCUCUCGCUCCUUCCCUUCAUCUCCCCUCCCGAGAUCCCAACACUAUCAACUAUUAACCCUCCGUUUGAUUUUUUGUUAACGCUGGCCGGCAAACAUACUGAUUCACCUCUUGUUGUUUCUCAAAUAGGCUAGUCAUCAAGAGUAAGUGUAGUUUGGUUUGGAUGUUAUCAUAUAACCCGCUGCUAAAUCUUUCGUCACCACAAUCAGUUUACAUUAGGUUCUCUGGACGGAUCUGGUUAUCUAUAUCUAUACUUACUGAAUGUGUCCGUGUGUUCAUAUUUGCUUAGGUAUUUUAUUACAUGACCAAAAAAAUCGUAUCACAGUGUCUUGCUUCAUCCGCCGGCCCUGGGAUGUGAGUGAUUGAACUCUUCCCCUGGAUCAUCUAGAACUCAAACAAUUUAGAUGUAGUCCUAUGCCAUAAUGUCCACAUGAGCAGCGAUGCCAAACGUACUGCCUGCUGGUUAUCCACAUCUGGUUUGUGUCUUUGUCUUUUUCAAAUUAGUUAUGCCUGAAAACAUGAAAAGUGUUUGGGGAUUAAUCCCAGCACGGCAUUCAUCGUCUUGCUGUGACUACCCUCCUCCCUUAAUACUUGAAUAUGGCGAUGUAACUAGCGUCUAUUUUACAGAAGUAUUUUUACAUCGUGCAUGAGUUUCUGUUACAUCAGCGAUACUAGUACAGUUAUUUCAGGUCAUGACAAGUAUCCCAACUGGAUGUAAUCUUUCUUUUUUUUGUACAUCCAGUAUGAUAGAAACAUGUAACACUCAUACGUAAUUUUUUUAACCAUCCUGGAUGUAAACAUUUUGAUCUGAAAGUAGCUUCUACAUCUUCAUUUUUUACAUCCUUAAUGAUUGAAUGAUAUAACACCAGUUUAAUCUGAGUUGUAACUUUUACUAAAUGAAGCGAAAGCAACACCAUCCAAUUACUAAUGCAGCAGAGGGUAAUUCUAGCCCAUACCCUGCAUAAUAAACAAAAAUACAAUUUUAAAAUGGAGACACUAAUGCGUCCACAAAUAUGCAAGAAACUAAUCAGGGAUUGCUGUAACAUCAUCCAGUUACCAACUCUUAAAUCCUACAUGUUGCAGCAUGAGCGUAUUUUUCUCUCAUUUCGUUUCUCUAACUUUUCUGUAAAUGCCUUCUUUUUGUAGAAUCCUACAUGUUGCAGCAUGAGCGUAUUUUUCUCUCAUGAAGAUAUUGCCUUGUCUGCCUCAUGCAUCCAAACAUUGCAAAAUCAAACAAACUAAAUUGCAAAAGUAAAUCAUAAUUUUGGAACAUGAUUCUACUGGAAGCAUGUUCAGGGAAGUUCAGGCUGAGCCACCAACAUUCUUACAGCAUCCGGACUUGACAUUUCAGUCAGGUUCCAGAAAAGGUAACAAAAACAAAACAACCCAUUGGCAAGAUUUGCCAUUUCUAGUCACCUACGCUAUAUGUCUCGGGCCCACGCAUUGACCAUUCCAUACCUAUUUCCAGUAAGUAUUUCUUUUCUCGUCUCAUCAUAGAACAUGGCGGUUACCCCUGACAGGGCCUCAGCAACUGUGUGUGCUACUGGAGGCUCCCCAGUUUGAGCAGUAAGCCCAGUUUGGUUGUCACUGAUUUCAGCUAGCCGUUUCCCGUUGCAAAUAUUAGUUACAUUGAUCAGUGCACCUUCAAAGCCUGCAAUAACAAUGUCAUUAUCAUAAGUUCAGAACUACCCGAUAUUGGGUUAACCAGGGUUAGUUUAGUUAAAAGAAUAUUACCUCGAGCAGGUGCAAAGUAAGACAUCAGGAUCUUGGCACUGUCAUUGAUCGCAAAUUGCUUCAGCUGUAAGGGCGGAGGGUAUUGCACCUCUGUUAAAAGCUCAGCGUUGCAAUUGAAAAUCGAAACUUCAGCUGCCGAUCCAAUAAUUAUUAGAUUAUCGCCUAGAAUUUGACACCACAGGUUGAAGCUUUUAAUGGUUGCUUGUCCUUAUUAUCCUUGCAUAACUGAACCAGGAAAAGCUGCAGUUUAGUAUCGUACUUCAAUGAUAUAUUGAUAAUAAUAGAACCUAGUUAAUGUAUUGGGGCGUAUGAUACCUACUUUUUUUAUCACGAGUGGCUUCUUGGCCUGGCUGAGAACUAGUGUAUCUCGCAUUAGGUUAAUGUAAUCGACAUCGAUUGUGUCCUUGAUCUGAAUCUUGUAACUUUUAGUUGCAGAUCCUUCCUGUAUUGAGAAUGCUUGUAUGGGAAUGCGACCGAACUGAUCCCUUCUGUACUCAAGGAUCAGCAUAUUGUGACUGCAAGGUACCUAUUGUUGUUCUGUGAUGAAAUCACUGCUGCCUUCUCAAUAUCUUGGAACAUCUCCACAUCGUCAGCAUCUUUAAUCUCUACUUCGUGGAAUACCCUUCGACGCCGGUAACUUGCUCUAGAGGUUGUAAUAUGGUGGCUCACAUUCUAGCAACAUAUGGGAUAAAUCUAAAAUCUAGCGAUGGCGUCCACAAAACCCUCUGUCACAGAUCUGAUGCUGCUGGUUUGAAAGGUUGAAAGGAAAUUAUCAUCUACUCUAGCGAUGGCAUCCUAUGGUGCUAAACUGAGGCUGGUGGACUCAAUGCUGAUCUCGUUUGCAGUUUAUGCCAUGUGCUCUAUUAGAAUCCCUCCCAAGAUCUUGGCAUACCUCUCGACAAACUACACCACCUAUGCCUCUGGAGAAGAAAAACUGAUCAAGGAGAAACUUCAAACUCGCUGGCUGCAUGGACGAUGGUGUGUAAACCAAAACAGAAAGGGGGGCUGGGGGUCCCCGACACCAAGAUCUUAAACACUGCACUUCUCUUGAAGUUCCUAGACAAAUUCUACAAUCACCAUGAUGUGCCAUGGGUCGAGUUGAUUUGGUCCACGUACUCCACUAGUUCUGUAACGCACGCGGCGGGCCCAUGUGGAUCAUUUUGGUGGAGAGAGUUAAUGCCCUUAUGCCGAUUUAACGCGGGAUCACCUCUGUUUCUACUCUCUUCUGGAAGAAUCAGUGGUGCGGGCAGAUACUCUCGGAUGCCUACCCGAGAGCUUUCUCUUAUGCUGUUUAUGAAGAUGCCACUGUCGAGCAAUUUCUCACGAUGCACUUGCUUGGUGAAGGCUUACAUCUACCAAUGUCAGUUCAGGUGCGCCAGGAGGUGGCCCAACUACACUUUGAGACUGCCAAAACUAGCAUCAAUACUAUGGCUACUGAUGACUGGGGGCCUAGGUACACGUCUGCUUGAUACUACACAUUUCUUCAGACAAUUCAGGAACCCUUCAAACGGAUUUGGAGGUCCAGGUGCGUUAUGAAGCUGAAAGUGUUGGCUUGGUUGCUACUGUCAGAUGGCCUAAACACCAAAGAUAUGUUAGGUUGCAGGCAUUACGUGGUGGGACCGGGCUCGCAGCGAUCUGACUGCUGCGCCCUUUGCCUUACCCAAUCCAAUGAAACUGUAGAGAACUUGAUCUUCUCGUGCACCUUUGCUAGGGAGUGAUGGAGCAAACUUGGAAUAACGUGGGGGGCUGGAAACGACAGAUUUGAAUGGUUGACACAUGCCAAGAGGGGCCAGGCUCAUGUUCAUGGAAGUCUUUGUGGGGGUGCCUGGCGCAGGAGGUUUAAGCAGGACUUUGGUCUGCUCAAGUGCCUUCUUUUUUUGCCUGCUGUCAGAGUUCUUCCUCUUCUUUUAUUUAUUGCUUUGGGCAGCCCCCAUGGCGGUGCCCCCCGUGUGUAUUUUGUAAAUCAUGUAACUCCUACACAUUUACUGUGCUUGCUUAAUACAAUGAGACUAGGAAACUCUCCUACAGUCAUUUAAAGUUCAAAAAAGAAAAAUCUGAAAUCUAG